RNAcentral lists this non-coding RNA (81 nucleotides) under Caenibius tardaugens. RNAcentral's name for it is "Novosphingobium tardaugens ZTP sequence". It matches the Rfam family "ZMP/ZTP riboswitch aptamer (pfl RNA motif)". Rfam says of the family: Previously known as pfl RNA. ZMP is also known as AICAR. RNAcentral also lists the same sequence under 1 other name. Lineage: Bacteria; Pseudomonadati; Pseudomonadota; Alphaproteobacteria; Sphingomonadales; Erythrobacteraceae. The record is from RNAcentral.
CCGCAUUCGCGUAACUGACGAGACAGGCGGAGCACCGCCGUGGAGCGCGAAGCCAGUUUGCCGCUCGUCUGGGCACCCCGA